This 535-nucleotide ribosomal RNA is filed under the name uncultured bacterium. RNAcentral describes it as "bacterial SSU rRNA". It matches the Rfam family "Bacterial small subunit ribosomal RNA", at positions 9 to 583 of the family's 1533-position model. The record is from RNAcentral.
GAGUUUGAUCAUGGCUCAGGAUGAACGCUGGCGAGAUGCUUUACACAUGCAAGUCAUACGAGAGUUUUUAACUCAAGUGGCGGACGGGUGAGUAACACGUAAGAAUUUACCUUUAGGAGGGGGAUAACAACGAGAAAUUGUUGCUAAUACCCCAUAUGCUUUCGAGUGAAAUGGAUUUUUCCGCCUAGAGAGAAGCUUGCGCCUGAUUAGCUUGUUGGUAAGGUAAUGGCUUACCAAGGCGACGACCAGUAUCUGGUUUGAGAGGAUGAUCAGACACACUGGAACUGAGACACGGUCCAGACUCCUACGGGAGGCAGCAGUGGGGAAUUUUCCGCAAUGGGCGAAAGCCUGACGGAGCAAUCUCGCGUGAGGGAUGACGGCCUAUGGGUUGUAAACCUCUUUUUUCAGGGAGGAAUCAAAUGACGUGUACCUGAAGAAUAAGCAUCGGCUAACUCCGUGCCAGCAGCCGCGGUAAGACGGAGGAUGCAAGUGUUAUCCGGAAUCACUGGGCGUAAAGCGUCUGUAGGUGGUUUAG